Molecule: long non-coding RNA, 375 nt
Organism: Bombyx mori (domestic silkworm)
Lineage: Eukaryota; Metazoa; Arthropoda; Insecta; Lepidoptera; Bombycidae
Exons: 2
Source: RefSeq, a predicted model, not a curated record
GAAAGGGAGAAGAUAAUGACAGACAGAAUGACAAAGAAAAGGAAGAUGGCGAAGAUGGUUAAAAAAUGAGCAAGGCGUAGCAAAAGUGUUAAUUAAUUUUUAAUUAUUAUUUUAACAGAAGAUUUUGGAACAGUAGCAACAAAAAAAAAUUCAGUUCACGUUAUGGGGAUAGAAGACGAGAAAUCGCGAGAUGUUAUCGAAGAAAAGACAUCAACGCGCACCGUCGACAGCUUUUGACUAAUAAGCACAGUCUCGCCCGUUGCUAUUAGUCUUCCGAGAUGCCGAAAACGAAAAAAAAAAUUAACAAAACGAAAAACAAAACUGUUUCGGCAUGAGAUUAAUUAAAUUUAACGUUCUGAUGAUAUCAUAUGUUAA